UGUCCUAUAGUGUAACGGCAGCACAUCUGAUUUUGGUUCAGCUGGUCCAGGUUCGAAUCCUGGUAGGACAA
This 71-nucleotide transfer RNA is filed under the name Bacteroidales bacterium. Its description in RNAcentral is "tRNA-Gln". It matches the Rfam family "tRNA". Rfam says of the family: Transfer RNA (tRNA) molecules are approximately 80 nucleotides in length. Their secondary structure includes four short double-helical elements and three loops (D, anti-codon, and T loops). RNAcentral also lists the same sequence under 1 other name. The record is from RNAcentral. Lineage: Bacteria; Pseudomonadati; Bacteroidota; Bacteroidia; Bacteroidales.